This 497-nucleotide ribosomal RNA is filed under the name uncultured bacterium. RNAcentral describes it as "partial 16S ribosomal RNA". It matches the Rfam family "Bacterial small subunit ribosomal RNA", at positions 28 to 507 of the family's 1533-position model. The record is from RNAcentral.
GAUGAACGCUGGCGGCGUGCCUAAUACAUGCAAGUCGAGCGAACAGACGAGGAGCUUGCUCCUCUGACGUUAGCGGCGGACGGGUGAGUAACACGUGGAUAACCUACCUAUAAGACUGGGAUAACUUCGGGAAACCGGAGCUAAUACCGGAUAAUAUAUUGAACCGCAUGGUUCAAUAGUGAAAGACGGUUUUGCUGUCACUUAUAGAUGGAUCCGCGCCGCAUUAGCUAGUUGGUAAGGUAACGGCUUACCAAGGCGACGAUGCGUAGCCGACCUGAGAGGGUGAUCGGCCACACUGGAACUGAGACACGGUCCUGACUCCUACGGGAGGCAGCAGUAGGGAAUCUUCCGCAAUGGGCGAAAGCCUGACGGAGCAACGCCGCGUGAGUGAUGAAGGUCUUCGGAUCGUAAAACUCUGUUAUUAGGGAAGAACAAAUGUGUAAGUAACUAUGCACGUCUUGACGGUACCUAAUCAGAAAGCCACGGCUAACUACGUG